AGCGGGGUUUUAAUAAAAAAAAAACAAAAAAAACUAUACAAUUUAAAAAUGACCAGUUUAAGUGGUACGUUUCGUGUUAUGAAUGCCGGAUCGAUACUAGUAAAGAUGAAAGAUAGGUUCGUGGUUGUUACGGAGGUCGUUGAAACGUACUCGUUUUCCUCAAGAUUUAUUUAUUUAUUUUUUUCAUUGCCUAGGGGAUUGUAUCUAUCUCUCGCAAUAAAUCGCUAGAAACAUCGCAAAUUAUGUAAGAUAAUGUAUCUUUUAGAAAAAGGAAUUCCUAAGCACGGAAUAAUGUUUGCGUUCUAAUUAAAAGUUGAAAAGAGUAGCAUUUAGGACACGCUUUUAGGACUGAAAUAUUUAUUUCUUCGAUGUAUGUUAAUACAUUUUUUACAUGUUCAAGACGAGAAUAUAUUACUCUUCAACCGCAAAAAGAUUCUUGAGUCAAAGCGUCCUAUUUAGUAUUUAUCUUUAGUAUAUACGAGGUGGAUUGGCUUUUGCCAAGUUUCUUCGCGUCACGCUUGCGCGGCUUUUCGAGGCGAGCUUUUGAGCUUUCGAGUCGCACUGGUAACGGAGACACGUGGAGUCGCUUGUUCGUUCGUUACCAAGUUUUACGCUCCUCACGAGUUUCUUUAACUGCGGUAAAGUGACGUUUCAUUGGUGAACUAUAUUCGAUUGUGGUCAAGGAAAAAAAGUGAUGAUAUCUUUUUUCCUAUUUCAAAUUAUUUUUCAAAAAUUUAUUUACGAACGUGGUGUUAAAAAAUUAAUCGGUCGUCGAACGAUUUGAAAAUAUAUUAGGUAGGCGUUAAACACUUUUCUACUUGUGUUUGAGCCGUGUAAAAUUUAAACGUUUUAUAAUAAGAGUUAUUUAGAGUUAUGUCAUGUUAACUACAUAGAUUUUUUGUUUUUGUCAUACCGAUUAUUGAUUCAUUAAUAAGAUUUUAUACGACGGGAUUUAUUAUUGACGACGGUGAUAAUCGAUAAAUGAUAAUUCGGAAAUUAACAAUAAUUCUAUGACAGAAACGCCGUGUUAAAUAAAUUUUUGAUAUGAUUAACGUCGAAAAUAAUAUCGUUUACAAGUUUAUCGUUUAUCAGUGGAGUGUUUAAAUAGUGAAUGUAAAACAUUGGUGUCGUAAAAAUGAAUAAGGACGAAGAAAAUACUAAACACAAAGAAGAAAUGAAAGAAUCAUCGAUCCCGUCAGCACCUUUACACUCUUAUCCGCAUCAAAAGAUCUUCAAAAAGUGCAAAAGUGCGACUUUUCAUCUGGACGGUGCAAUUUAUACGAUAGGUAAAUCUCGAAAAUAUUCUACAUAAUUUCAUUAUUUUAUGUUAAUGUCUUCUGUAACUCUGAUGCAGCUUUGACGAAAGUCUUUGAUUUAUUACGAUUAACUUUUCCGAAUUAUGUUUACUUUAGAAGUGUUUUAAUUUUUUCUAGAUUUUGCAUUUAUAAUUUCUAUUUUGCUUACGAGUGGAGAUCGUCAAUGCACAUUUAACAUUAAACAAUAAAAUCACACAAUGAA
Vespula pensylvanica (western yellowjacket) is the source of this 1518-nucleotide long non-coding RNA. RefSeq lists it as uncharacterized. The record is from RefSeq and is a predicted model, not a curated record. Lineage: Eukaryota; Metazoa; Arthropoda; Insecta; Hymenoptera; Vespidae. The transcript is spliced from 2 exons.